This is a non-coding RNA of Delphinapterus leucas (beluga whale), 193 nucleotides long. Lineage: Eukaryota; Metazoa; Chordata; Mammalia; Artiodactyla; Monodontidae. The record is from RefSeq and is a predicted model, not a curated record.
CUUAGAAGUGGACGCAAUAUUAAAGUUCAUAUACCAAGUUUUCAGUCAACAUUCUUUCCAGCAACAGUGUUGUCCCCAUACCGGCCAUGGAGGAAGCUGUGAAAGAGAGCAUUCAGGAAAUUGGUGCAAAUGAGCCAUCUUGGAAGUCUGGGACACAGGUUCGAGACCUGGGCCAGGAAGAUCUCACAUGCCG